UGGGGAAUAUUGGACAAUGGGCGGAAGCCUGAUCCAGCAACGCCGCGUGAGGGAUGACGGCCUUCGGGUUGUAAACCUCUUUCAGCACAGACGAAGCGCAAGUGACGGUAUGUGCAGAAGAAGGACCGGCCAACUACGUGCCAGCAGCCGCGGUAAUACGUAGGGUCCGAGCGUUGUCCGGAAUUAUUGGGCGUAAAGGGCUCGUAGGCGGUUUGUCGCGUCGGGAGUGAAAACACCGGGCUUAACUCGGUGCUUGCUUUCGAUACGGGCAGACUAGAGGCAUUCAGGGGAGAACGGAAUUCCUGGUGUAGCGGUGAAAUGCGCAGAUAUCAGGAGGAACACCGGUGGCGAAGGCGGUUCUCUGGGAAUGUCCUGACGCUGAGGAGCGAAAGUGUGGGGAGCGAACAGGAUUAGAUUCCCUGGUAGUCCACACCGUAAACGUUGGGCGCUAGGUGUGGGAUCCAUUCCACGGGUUCCGUGCCGCAGCUAACGCAUUAAGCGCCCCGCCUGGGGAGUACGGCCGCAAGGCUAAAACUUAAAGGAAUUGACGGGGUCAUAGCUGUUUCCU
This 568-nucleotide ribosomal RNA is filed under the name uncultured bacterium. RNAcentral's name for it is "partial 16S ribosomal RNA". It matches the Rfam family "Bacterial small subunit ribosomal RNA", at positions 355 to 1375 of the family's 1533-position model. The record is from RNAcentral.